Molecule: long non-coding RNA, 365 nt
Filed under: Lathyrus oleraceus (garden pea)
Lineage: Eukaryota; Viridiplantae; Streptophyta; Magnoliopsida; Fabales; Fabaceae
Description: Pisum sativum (pea) long non-coding RNA (PSAT_LNC025913)
Source: RNAcentral
AAAAAUUCCGGUGGGAACCACCAAUGCUCUCCAACGUCUCUCACUUUUCAUGAGGCACACUCCCACUCACACCAAUAUAAUCCCUCCAACGGUAAUAAUAAGAAGAGAAGACAACUAGCACUCUCUCGGGGACUCAUUAAAUGCAAGAGGAUAAAAAGCAAAAAUAAAAAAAAGUUUUCGGGACCACCCAAUCAUCACAUGUUACCUACUCUCUCUACUGCAAGAGAAAAGGAAAUUAAAAAAAACUCACUCAUAUACUCUCUCUCACACACACAACUUCCCUCACGCGGAAAAGAAAAAAAAUAAAGAAGAAGAAACACUUUCUUCCUCUAUGCCUUUUCUUCACUCUCCCAACGCGUUUUCAC